CCCUUAGAUGUUCUGGGCCGCACGCGCGCUGCACUGAUGAACGCAACGAGACCACCUGUACCGAAAGGCAUGGGUAAACUUGUGAAAGUUCAUCGUGAUGGGGAUAGAUUAUUGCAAUUAUUAAUCUUCAACGAGGAAUUCCUAGUAAGCGCGAGUCAUCAGCUCGCGUUGAUUACGUCCCUGCCCUUUGUACACACCGCCCGUCGCUCCUACCGAUUGAAUGGUCCGGUGAAAUCUUCGGAUUGCUGGAUAGGACUUCAUUGACCUAUCUGCGAGAAGUUGCUUGAACCUUAUCAUUUAGAGGAAGGAGAAGUCGUAACA
RNAcentral lists this ribosomal RNA (321 nucleotides) under uncultured eukaryote. RNAcentral describes it as "partial 18S ribosomal RNA". It matches the Rfam family "Eukaryotic small subunit ribosomal RNA", at positions 1470 to 1796 of the family's 1831-position model. The record is from RNAcentral.